This 2924-nucleotide ribosomal RNA is filed under the name Staphylococcus aureus. Its description in RNAcentral is "23S ribosomal RNA". It matches the Rfam family "Bacterial large subunit ribosomal RNA". Lineage: Bacteria; Bacillati; Bacillota; Bacilli; Caryophanales; Staphylococcaceae. The record is from RNAcentral.
GAUUAAGUUAUUAAGGGCGCACGGUGGAUGCCUUGGCACUAGAAGCCGAUGAAGGACGUUACUAACGACGAUAUGCUUUGGGGAGCUGUAAGUAAGCUUUGAUCCAGAGAUUUCCGAAUGGGGAAACCCAGCAUGAGUUAUGUCAUGUUAUCGAUAUGUGAAUACAUAGCAUAUCAGAAGGCACACCCGGAGAACUGAAACAUCUUAGUACCCGGAGGAAGAGAAAGAAAAUUCGAUUCCCUUAGUAGCGGCGAGCGAAACGGGAAGAGCCCAAACCAACAAGCUUGCUUGUUGGGGUUGUAGGACACUCUAUACGGAGUUACAAAGGACGACAUUAGACGAAUCAUCUGGAAAGAUGAAUCAAAGAAGGUAAUAAUCCUGUAGUCGAAAAUGUUGUCUCUCUUGAGUGGAUCCUGAGUACGACGGAGCACGUGAAAUUCCGUCGGAAUCUGGGAGGACCAUCUCCUAAGGCUAAAUACUCUCUAGUGACCGAUAGUGAACCAGUACCGUGAGGGAAAGGUGAAAAGCACCCCGGAAGGGGAGUGAAAUAGAACCUGAAACCGUGUGCUUACAAGUAGUCAGAGCCCGUUAAUGGGUGAUGGCGUGCCUUUUGUAGAAUGAACCGGCGAGUUACGAUUUGAUGCAAGGUUAAGCAGUAAAUGUGGAGCCGUAGCGAAAGCGAGUCUGAAUAGGGCGUUUAGUAUUUGGUCGUAGACCCGAAACCAGGUGAUCUACCCUUGGUCAGGUUGAAGUUCAGGUAACACUGAAUGGAGGACCGAACCGACUUACGUUGAAAAGUGAGCGGAUGAACUGAGGGUAGCGGAGAAAUUCCAAUCGAACCUGGAGAUAGCUGGUUCUCUCCGAAAUAGCUUUAGGGCUAGCCUCAAGUGAUGAUUAUUGGAGGUAGAGCACUGUUUGGACGAGGGGCCCCUCUCGGGUUACCGAAUUCAGACAAACUCCGAAUGCCAAUUAAUUUAACUUGGGAGUCAGAACAUGGGUGAUAAGGUCCGUGUUCGAAAGGGAAACAGCCCAGACCACCAGCUAAGGUCCCAAAAUAUAUGUUAAGUGGAAAAGGAUGUGGCGUUGCCCAGACAACUAGGAUGUUGGCUUAGAAGCAGCCAUCAUUUAAAGAGUGCGUAAUAGCUCACUAGUCGAGUGACACUGCGCCGAAAAUGUACCGGGGCUAAACAUAUUACCGAAGCUGUGGAUUGUCCUUUGGACAAUGGUAGGAGAGCGUUCUAAGGGCGUUGAAGCAUGAUCGUAAGGACAUGUGGAGCGCUUAGAAGUGAGAAUGCCGGUGUGAGUAGCGAAAGACGGGUGAGAAUCCCGUCCACCGAUUGACUAAGGUUUCCAGAGGAAGGCUCGUCCGCUCUGGGUUAGUCGGGUCCUAAGCUGAGGCCGACAGGCGUAGGCGAUGGAUAACAGGUUGAUAUUCCUGUACCACCUAUAAUCGUUUUAAUCGAUGGGGGGACGCAGUAGGAUAGGCGAAGCGUGCGAUUGGAUUGCACGUCUAAGCAGUAAGGCUGAGUAUUAGGCAAAUCCGGUACUCGUUAAGGCUGAGCUGUGAUGGGGAGAAGACAUUGAGUCUUCGAGUCGUUGAUUUCACACUGCCGAGAAAAGCCUCUAGAUAGAAAAUAGGUGCCCGUACCGCAAACCGACACAGGUAGUCAAGAUGAGAAUUCUAAGGUGAGCGAGCGAACUCUCGUUAAGGAACUCGGCAAAAUGACCCCGUAACUUCGGGAGAAGGGGUGCUCUUUAGGGUUAACGCCCAGAAGAGCCGCAGUGAAUAGGCCCAAGCGACUGUUUAUCAAAAACACAGGUCUCUGCUAAACCGUAAGGUGAUGUAUAGGGGCUGACGCCUGCCCGGUGCUGGAAGGUUAAGAGGAGUGGUUAGCUUCUGCGAAGCUACGAAUCGAAGCCCCAGUAAACGGCGGCCGUAACUAUAACGGUCCUAAGGUAGCGAAAUUCCUUGUCGGGUAAGUUCCGACCCGCACGAAAGGCGUAACGAUUUGGGCACUGUCUCAACGAGAGACUCGGUGAAAUCAUAGUACCUGUGAAGAUGCAGGUUACCCGCGACAGGACGGAAAGACCCCGUGGAGCUUUACUGUAGCCUGAUAUUGAAAUUCAGCACAGCUUGUACAGGAUAGGUAGGAGCCUUUGAAACGUGAGCGCUAGCUUACGUGGAGGCGCUGGUGGGAUACUACCCUAGCUGUGUUGGCUUUCUAACCCGCACCACUUAUCGUGGUGGGAGACAGUGUCAAGCGGGCAGUUUGACUGGGGCGGUCGCCUCCUAAAAGGUAACGGAGGCGCUCAAAGGUUCCCUCAGAAUGGUUGGAAAUCAUUCAUAGAGUGCAAAGGCAUAAGGGAGCUUGACUGCGAGACCUACAAGUCGAGCAGGGUCGAAAGACGGACUUAGUGAUCCGGUGGUUCCGCAUGGAAGGGCCAUCGCUCAACGGAUAAAAGCUACCCCGGGGAUAACAGGCUUAUCUCCCCCAAGAGUUCACAUCGACGGGGAGGUUUGGCACCUCGAUGUCGGCUCAUCGCAUCCUGGGGCUGUAGUCGGUCCCAAGGGUUGGGCUGUUCGCCCAUUAAAGCGGUACGCGAGCUGGGUUCAGAACGUCGUGAGACAGUUCGGUCCCUAUCCGUCGUGGGCGUAGGAAAUUUGAGAGGAGCUGUCCUUAGUACGAGAGGACCGGGAUGGACAUACCUCUGGUGUACCAGUUGUCGUGCCAACGGCAUAGCUGGGUAGCUAUGUGUGGACGGGAUAAGUGCUGAAAGCAUCUAAGCAUGAAGCCCCCCUCAAGAUGAGAUUUCCCAACUUCGGUUAUAAGAUCCCUCAAAGGUGAUGAGGUUAAUAGGUUCGAGGUGGAAGCAUGGUGACAUGUGGAGCUGACGAAUACUAAUCGAAUCGAAGACUUAAUCAA